Molecule: long non-coding RNA, 1254 nt
Organism: Chinchilla lanigera (long-tailed chinchilla)
Lineage: Eukaryota; Metazoa; Chordata; Mammalia; Rodentia; Chinchillidae
Exons: 2
Source: RefSeq, a predicted model, not a curated record
UUGUCACAUCUGUAUCAGUGUUUUACUAGAGAAACAGCUAUAACACAAGAUAUACAAAUGUAUAAGAGUUUAAAAGAUUGGCUUCCAAUGGCCACUCACAGAGUCAGAUGAAGAAGAGUGGGGUCUGUCUGCAUAGUGGAGAAGGAUUCAGUCCAAGGUCUGGAGCUCAGGGCAGUGUCCCAUGCAAGUGCCUAUCAGGAGGCCAAUGGACCUGCAAUGGAAGGCUGAAGAGUUUACAGCAGAAAGCUGAAGGACCUGCACUGGAAGCUGAAGAGUCUACACUGGAAGCCAGGAAAUGAUGUCCAAGGUAAAGGUGAAGACUGGAGCUCCUGCCAAGAAAUAGAAGUGCCCCAGCUUCUCUACCCAGAGGCCACUGAUUUCUUGGCGUUCUUCCAGAGCUGUGCGUGAAGAACUAUGCUCAGGAGCCCUUGGAGAGACUCGCUGCCUCCUGGUUUCCACAUCUUGGUGGUUCAGUGCACAAGGCUGGACUGUUCUUAGGUUCAGAGAAAAAUGUGCCCCAGCCCCACCCAAGUCUCCGCCUUGGUUCCCUGACUAAUGGAAACGAGCGCCUUUUCUCUCAAAAAUAUUUGGGGCGGCCUUGGACAACAUAACAGGGGGUCCUUGUGAAGAUUUAACCCGAUAACCAGGAACUGAACCAUUUUCCAUGCGUCGAAUAGGAGUCUCAGUACAAGUUCACACCAAGCAGAUGCGCGCACCGUGAAAGGCCCAGAGGACAGUGGAAGACGCGGUGUGCGCCCCAACUUCCCAGCUCCCUCCUUUGGGCCUCCCUUUCUUCUCUCUGAGGUUUUCUUUUUACCUCCGCUCACAGGCACUCUGUAUUUUCAGGGUUAAAGGUAAUCCAGGAAAUAUGCCUCUGUAUUUACAAAGACAUGUUAAUAGAGUAAUAAGUUACUUUUCCUUAUGUACUGAUAAAUUCCGCAAGAUGCCCUAGGAUAAUGAUUUCAAGGGCUGGGAAAGGAUGGCUGUCUCUUAGGAAGAAAAUAUCAGACCAGGAAUGGCACUGCACACCGGUAAUCCCAGCACUCCGGGAGGCUGAUGGAGGAGGACAGAAAGUUAAGCCCAUCUUGGGCAGUUUAGAGCCUGAGCCGGACCCUAUCUCAAAAUAAAAAUAUAAAAAAAGGGCUGGAGCGUGUAGCUUAGGGCAAAGACCUGGAUUCAAUCCACAAUCCAUAAAAACAAUUCAGAAUAUUCGAAAUGCAAUUAAUAAUUUUUUUUUUUUUUUUUUGUCUUUUU